Molecule: ribosomal RNA, 505 nt
Filed under: uncultured bacterium
Lineage: Bacteria
Description: partial 16S ribosomal RNA
Rfam family: Bacterial small subunit ribosomal RNA
Source: RNAcentral
GACGAACGCUGGCGGCGUGCCUAAUACAUGCAAGUAGAACGCACAGGUUAUACCGUAGCUUGCUACACUAUAGACUGUGAGUUGCGAACGGGUGAGUAACGCGUAGGUAACCUGCCUGGUAGCGGGUGAUAACUAUUGGGCACGGUAGCUAAUACAGCAUAAUAUUAAUUAUUGCAUGAUAAUUGAUUGAAGGAUGCUAAUGCAUCACUGCCAGAUGGACCUGCGUUGUAUUAGCUAGUAGGUGAGGUAACGACGAACCUAGACGACGAUACAUAGCAGACCUGAGAGGGUGAUAGGCCACACUGGGACUGAGACACGGCCCAGACUCCUACGGGAGGCAGCAGUAGGGAAUCUUCAGCAAUGGACGAAAGUCUGACCGAGCAACGCCGCGGGAGUGAAGAAGGUUGUCGGGUCGUAAAGCUCAGUUGUAAGAGAAGAACGGGUGUGAGAGUGGAAAGUGCACACUGUGACGGUAUCUUACCAGAAAGCGACGGCUAACUACGUG